CAGUCGCCGCGGUAAUACGGAGGGUGCAAGCGUUAAUCGGAAUUACUGGGCGUAAAGCGCACGCAGGCGGUUUGUUAAGUCAGAUGUGAAAUCCCCGAGCUUAACUUGGGAACUGCAUUUGAAACUGGCAAGCUAGAGUCUUGUAGAGGGGGGUAGAAUUCCAGGUGUAGCGGUGAAAUGCGUAGAGAUCUGGAGGAAUACCGGUGGCGAAGGCGGCCCCCUGGACAAAGACUGACGCUCAGGUGCGAAAGCGUGGGGAGCAAACAGGAUUAGAUACCCCUGUAGUCCCUGUCUCUUAUAU
This 301-nucleotide ribosomal RNA is filed under the name uncultured bacterium. RNAcentral describes it as "partial 16S ribosomal RNA". It matches the Rfam family "Bacterial small subunit ribosomal RNA", at positions 509 to 809 of the family's 1533-position model. The record is from RNAcentral.